GGGUUGUGAGGUUAAGCGACUAAGCGUACACGGUGGAUGCCCUGGCAGUCAGAGGCGAUGAAGGGCGUGCUAAUCUGCGAUAAGCGCCGGUAAGGUGAUAUGAACCGUUAUAACCGGCGAUACCCGAAUGGGGAAACCCAGUGUGUUUCGACACACUAUCAUUAACUGAAUCCAUAGGUUAAUGAGGCGAACCGGGGGAACUGAAACAUCUAAGUACCCCGAGGAAAAGAAAUCAACCGAGAUUCCCCCAGUAGCGGCGAGCGAACGGGGAGGAGCCCAGAGCCUGAAUCAGCAUGUGUGUUAGUGGAAGCGUCUGGAAAGGCGCGCGAUACAGGGUGACAGCCCCGUACACAAAAGCGCAUGUGCUGUGAGCUCGAUGAGUAGGGCGGGACACGUGGUAUCCUGUCUGAAUAUGGGGGGACCAUCCUCCAAGGCUAAAUACUCCUGACUGACCGAUAGUGAACCAGUACCGUGAGGGAAAGGCGAAAAGAACCCCGGCGAGGGGAGUGAAAAAGAACCUGAAACCGUGUACGUACAAGCAGUGGGAGCACAGGUUUACCUGUGUGACUGCGUACCUUUUGUAUAAUGGGUCAGCGACUUAUAUUCUGUAGCAAGGUUAACCGAAUAGGGGAGCCGGAGGGAAACCGAGUCUUAAUUGGGCGUUAAGUUGCAGGGUAUAGACCCGAAACCCGGUGAUCUAGCCAUGGGCAGGUUGAAGGUUGGGUAACACUAACUGGAGGACCGAACCGACUAAUGUUGAAAAAUUAGCGGAUGACCUGUGGCU
RNAcentral lists this ribosomal RNA (784 nucleotides) under Salmonella enterica subsp. enterica serovar Give. RNAcentral describes it as "bacterial LSU rRNA". It matches the Rfam family "Bacterial large subunit ribosomal RNA", at positions 1 to 816 of the family's 2925-position model. The record is from RNAcentral. Lineage: Bacteria; Pseudomonadati; Pseudomonadota; Gammaproteobacteria; Enterobacterales; Enterobacteriaceae.